RNAcentral lists this ribosomal RNA (251 nucleotides) under uncultured prokaryote. RNAcentral describes it as "partial 16S rRNA". It matches the Rfam family "Bacterial small subunit ribosomal RNA", at positions 525 to 775 of the family's 1533-position model. The record is from RNAcentral.
ACGUAGGGGGCAAGCGUUGUCCGGAAUGAUUGGGCGUAAAGGGCGCGUAGGCGGCCUGGUAAGUCUGGAGUGAAAGUCCUGCUUUUAAGGUGGGAAUUGCUUUGGAUACUGUCGGGCUUGAGUGCAGGAGAGGUAAGUGGAAUUCCCGGUUGAGGGUUUAAUUGCUGGUAGCCGGGGAGGAGCACCGGUGGCGAAGGCGUCUAACUUGAUUGGAACCGACGCUGCGGCGCGUAGCUGUCGGGCGCAAACAG